GUCGGCGUGGCGCAAUGGUAGCGCGUUGGACUUCUACAUACGCAGUGUGAGACAUCCAAAGGCUGUGGGUUCGAGCCCCACCGUCGAUG
This 89-nucleotide transfer RNA is filed under the name Didymosphaeria variabile. It matches the Rfam family "tRNA". From Rfam's summary of the family: Transfer RNA (tRNA) molecules are approximately 80 nucleotides in length. Lineage: Eukaryota; Fungi; Ascomycota; Dothideomycetes; Pleosporales; Didymosphaeriaceae. The record is from Rfam by way of RNAcentral.